This 553-nucleotide ribosomal RNA is filed under the name Aplocheilus lineatus (striped panchax). RNAcentral describes it as "partial 16S ribosomal RNA". It matches the Rfam family "Bacterial large subunit ribosomal RNA", at positions 1857 to 2608 of the family's 2925-position model. Lineage: Eukaryota; Metazoa; Chordata; Actinopteri; Cyprinodontiformes; Aplocheilidae. The record is from RNAcentral.
GCCUGCCCUGUGACUUGAGGUUUAACGGCCGCGGUAUUCUAACCGUGCAAAGGUAGCGCAAUCACUUGUUUUUUAAAUGAAGACCUGUAUGAAUGGCAUAACGAGGGCUAAACUGUCUCCUUCUCCCAGUCAAUGAAAUUGAUCCCCCCGUGCAGAAGCGGGGAUAAAUACAUAAGACGAGAAGACCCUAUGGAGCUUAAAACGAAAGAAUAGAACAUGUUAUAUCCCUUUAAUUAAAAAAUCAAACUAAAUGUUUCCUAUUCUAGUGUUUUCGGUUGGGGCGACCACGGAGCACAACAAAACCCCCGUGAGGAAAAAAUGAACAACAUUUUAAAUUAAGAGUGACAACUCUAGAUAACAGAAAUUCUGACCCUAAUAGAUCCGGCAAAGCCGAUCAACGGACCGAGUUACCCUAGGGAUAACAGCGCAAUCCCCUUUUAGAGCCCACAUCGACAAGGGGGUUUACGACCUCGAUGUUGGAUCAGGACAUCCUAAUGGUGCAGCCGCUAUUAAGGGUUCGUUUGUUCAACGAUUAAAGUCCUACGUGAUCUGA